RNAcentral lists this ribosomal RNA (782 nucleotides) under uncultured cyanobacterium. RNAcentral's name for it is "bacterial SSU rRNA". It matches the Rfam family "Bacterial small subunit ribosomal RNA", at positions 52 to 880 of the family's 1533-position model. The record is from RNAcentral. Lineage: Bacteria; Bacillati; Cyanobacteriota.
CACAUGCAAGUCGAACGAACCUUCGGGUUAGUGGCGGACGGGUGAGUAACGCGUGGGAAUCUGCCCUCAGGAGGGGGAUAACGGUUGGAAACGACCGCUAAUACCCCAUAUGCCGAGAGGUGAAAUGAAUUUCGCCUGAGGAUGAGCCCGCGUCUGAUUAGCUUGUUGGUGAGGUAAUGGCUCACCAAGGCAUCGAUCAGUAGCUGGUCUGAGAGGAUGAUCAGCCACACUGGGACUGAGACACGGCCCAGACUCCUACGGGAGGCAGCAGUGGGGAAUUUUCCGCAAUGGGCGAAAGCCUGACGGAGCAACGCCGCGUGAGGGACGAAGGCCUCUGGGCUGUAAACCUCUUUUCUCAAGGAAGAAGAUAUGACGGUACUUGAGGAAUAAGCCACGGCUAAUUCCGUGCCAGCAGCCGCGGUAAUACGGGAGUGGCAAGCGUUAUCCGGAAUUAUUGGGCGUAAAGCGUCCGCAGGCGGCCUUUCAAGUCUGCUGUUAAAACGUGGAGCUUAACUCCAUCAUGGCAGUGGAAACUGAUUGGCUUGAGUAUGGUAGGGGCAGAGGGAAUUCCCGGUGUAGCGGUGAAAUGCGUAGAUAUCGGGAAGAACACCAGUGGCGAAGGCGCUCUGCUGGGCCAUUACUGACGCUCAUGGACGAAAGCCAGGGGAGCGAAAGGGAUUAGAUACCCCUGUAGUCCUGGCCGUAAACGAUGAACACUAGGUGUCGGGGGAAUCGACCCCUUCGGUGUCGUAGCUAACGCGUUAAGUGUUCCGCCUGGGGAG